UUUAUGGAGAGUUUGAUCCUGGCUCAGGAUGAACGCUGGCGGCGUGCCUAAUACAUGCAAGUCGAGCGAACGGACGAGAAGCUUGCUUCUCUGAUGUUAGCGGCGGACGGGUGAGUAACACGUGGAUAACCUACCUAUAAGACUGGGAUAACUUCGGGAAACCGGAGCUAAUACCGGAUAAUAUUUUGAACCGCAUGAUUCAAAAGUGAAAGACGGUCUUGCUGUCACUUAUAGAUGGAUCCGCGCUGCAUUAGCUAGUUGGUAAGGUAACGGCUUACCAAGGCAACGAUGCAUAGCCGACCUGAGAGGGUGAUCGGCCACACUGGAACUGAGACACGGUCCAGACUCCUACGGGAGGCAGCAGUAGGGAAUCUUCCGCAAUGGGCGAAAG
RNAcentral lists this ribosomal RNA (391 nucleotides) under Staphylococcus aureus. RNAcentral describes it as "bacterial SSU rRNA". It matches the Rfam family "Bacterial small subunit ribosomal RNA", at positions 1 to 381 of the family's 1533-position model. The record is from RNAcentral. Lineage: Bacteria; Bacillati; Bacillota; Bacilli; Caryophanales; Staphylococcaceae.